Molecule: ribosomal RNA, 253 nt
Filed under: uncultured bacterium
Lineage: Bacteria
Description: partial 16S ribosomal RNA
Rfam family: Bacterial small subunit ribosomal RNA
Source: RNAcentral
UACGAAGGGGGCUAGCGUUGUUCGGAAUUACUGGGCGUAAAGCGCGUGUAGGCGGGCCGUUAAGUCGGGGGUGAAAGCCCAGAGCUCAACUCUGGAACUGCCUUCGAUACUGGCGGCCUGGAGCAUGAUAGAGGCGAGUGGAAUUGCGAGUGUAGAGGUGAAAUUCGUAGAUAUUCGCAGGAACACCAGUGGCGAAGGCGACUCGCUGGAUCAUUGCUGACGCUGAGACGCGAAAGCGUGGGGAGCAAACAGG